This is a long non-coding RNA of Solanum pennellii, 2818 nucleotides long. RefSeq lists it as uncharacterized. The transcript has 2 exons. Lineage: Eukaryota; Viridiplantae; Streptophyta; Magnoliopsida; Solanales; Solanaceae. The record is from RefSeq and is a predicted model, not a curated record.
UAACUAAACUAUACCCAUAGAAUGUAAUUAGAUAAAUCAUACCUAUAUAAUGUUAUUUAAUCAAUUAAGUUUGCCAUAUAUAAAAUUUUCCCUUAUUUUUCCCCCAAAAGAAGCCAUUCAACGCUGUUUCAACUUUCCAACAUCAAAACCUCAGAAACUCACGGCGUAGGCAACGACAACACGCGUGAGCGACCACCAAACCUCCAUAUUCCGAGACGCGCCUCGUCACUGUCACGCGGCGUCAACUUUGACGGCGAUAGACGGAAAAGUAGCGAGGGGGCAGAAGCCUAUGCGCUGGAGUUUGUCUUCUUCCUCCGCGUUCUUCUCUGUUUCGUACAAUUUCCAGCAGCCUACAGCCUUCGAAUCGUCCUUCAUCCUCCAGGUGUCGCAAUCCCAAGCCGCCUUUGUCCUUGCCUCGUGAUCGAACGGUUCCCCUGUUUUUCCCGUUGCAUUUGUGAGAAUAGAUGAAUUCGUACAGUAGGCUCUUAUCAAUUAAGAGUUUGAAUUUUGAAAGGGAAUGGAGAUUUUUUCAUUUUUGCCCUCCGCUUUUCCCCCCAGAUUCAACCCUAAUUUUCUAGUAUAUAAUAUCCUUUUAUUUACCGUCAAGGGGGUCUUUUUUUUGGUUUUCUGGAAUUUCUUAGAGCAAGAGUGCAGAAAAUAGAGAACAAUAUUAAUAUUUUCGUUAAGGAAUACAGUAAGGUUUCGAAGCGGGGGUGGGUUUUGGAGUUGAUUUCCGUGAGAUAUUAGCUUAAGGAGUCCGAUUUUGGAGUCGACACGAGUAUAUCCGGUACUCUGCUGUCCCUAAGCUUGAAGAUCUAGAGCUUUUCUCUUGGUGUGAAGUCGUGGUAUAUUCCUCGCUCUCCGUCUCUGUUUGCUGCUUCGGAAUAGGGCAAAUUCCAUAUUUGGCGAUCUUAAGGUUGGAGCAUGUUCAUCCGUUCUUUUUCGGCGUUUGAACUAGUUUGACCUUAGUCUCGUACGCUUGAUAUUCCCAUUGUGUUAAGUUCUUCUCAUUUUGUUAAGUAACAACCUUCAUUUGACAUGUAUAUUACUGCAAGUGCGACGGCUAAAUUAGCAUUUUGUUUCAUUUUCAGUAAGGCCUUAUGCAAAUCUGUUUAUCUUUGUUCCAUGUCGGUUAUUCCUCACUGAAGAUGUUACAAUCUUUUAUUGUUGAUUCUUAUGUUCGAACCAAUGAGUGUAUCGCUUUAUAUUCUCCAAUCACUGAAGCAUGUUAUAAUAAACAAGGUUUAUUUAUCUCUUUUGCUUUUCAUUUUUGUCACUAAAUUUGUAUGUCAUUGACCAGUAGAGUUAUCUAAAUGCAUAUUGUGAUUUCCUUUAUUUUCACUUGAGGUGAUUUGCUGCCACAUUAUCUUUGUUAGAUUCUCUCGAAUUAGAUUAUGUUUUAAUCUUCAUCUUCGAGUCAAAAUGCAUAUAUACUAAUAGAUUAGUUUACAGCAAUUGGUAUUAGCCUUUUUUAUUUGUUGCAUGUGAUACCCUUCAAGUUUAUCAUAUUAGGUGUUUUAUCAACCCUCGAAGACCAUGCAUACCUAAAUUAUUGCUUGCAUUUGGUUUGACCGACAUACGAUUAUUUCCUAUCUUAAUUUUCCUAUCUGACUUAAUUUUCUACCCAUUAGAGUUGUUGCAAGAUUUGCGGCUACUUCAGAUAGAUACUCAUUUUAGUUCUCUUUAUUUUGCAUAUAAAAUACCUCCGAGUUCGUCAUGAACUCCUCUCCCGUAUUUUCGAGAGUCGUAAAGGCUCAACUUCCUUUUGUCUGAGUCAAGCCCCCUCCAAAAUUGACGUACAGGUUCCGGAGUUUGAAGAAUUGAAGUGGAAGAAGAGGAAGAUAUUGGGCCUCGAAAGCCCAAAUUUUAUUUUCAGAAAUUUGUAUUCCGUUGUUGUAGGGCCUAAUCCCAUGUAAUUAUUUUAUUUCGUUGCAUCCUUAGACUAGGACAUGUACAAGGUAAUUGGGCCUAAAAUCCCAAAACAAAGAAAUGAGCCAAAAAACCCAAAACCAAAAUGGGUCCAAAUACCGGUCCAGGCGAACAGAUAAUCCGGAUUUGGACCCUACUCUCUCUCUCUCUCUCUCUCUUAUUUUUGUUUGAUUAUUUGAUUUAUUUGCCGUUAGUUGUAAGGUUAAGUAAUCCAUAUCCCCGCAAAUAUCGUAAACGUUUUAUCGACUCAAAAUUAAUUUCAAACCGAUUCUAAAAGAGUGAAUAAAUUCGCAAACCAAUUUUAAACUUAAUUACUUUGUAUCAAACCACUCUAAACAAUAUUUUAUUUCAAACAAGUUUAGCCAAAUUGUUAGUUGUUGGGUAACCGAGUGUUAUAUCUGUUAAGUCUUUCGAAAAUAGAAGUUAGUGGCGACUCAAAAAAGUCAAAAAAUUGCAAAAAUACUUUUUCGAUCAAAACAGUAUACCUCAUCAACUAGAUGUCAUAGUAAACCAGACAAGAUGAAAAUCUUUUAAGUAUGUUCUUAAUUGACCUCUCGAUUCAAGAUACAACAGCACCACGCUUUAGUGUACUUAAAUUAUCAUCAAAAGGGCCGCAAUAGUACCUAUUGUAUGCAUCAUUAAUAAAUGUCUUGAAUAAACAAUUGACAGCAGUGAAUCUGUACUCAUUAGGGGUUCCGUAGUUUUGACUUCUUCCUUAAGUAAUACAAAACUACAUCGAUGUUCUUCAACAUAAAUUUAAAAAUGUUAGACAAUAUGAUAAAUGUAUGUGAUAUGAUUUUGUAUCAUAUAGACAUUCAAGAUAAUGUAUAUGGUACAAAAUAUCAAUGUAUCAUAGAUAUAUUAAUGUAUCUUUUUAUCAUACCUGAUC